GCUGCUUGCGGUGGGAAGGGGCGGGGUUUAGCCCUGAGUGAUGGGUGUGGCAGCAAAUGGGCCAUGGAUGUAAAGGUUAAGAGGGCGCUGGGAGGUGUCCAGAGCCGCCUGGGGAGGAUGAAGCCUGGCCUGAAACAACGUGUACCAGAUCUGCAGCUGGUGGGCUGAAAAGAUGGAGAUUGGAAAACAUCCUUGUCCUGGGAAUAUUGUACAGCAAAAGGAGGGGAAAAAACAAAUCCAGAGAACACAGGAUUCACCACUUCUGCAGAGAGACCAAAUUAAUCUCAUUUUUAAGCUUUUGAGUAGAAUAAACUGUUCAGACCAAAGCAGAAAGCGUGAAAUAACAUUUGAGGAUGAAAGUGGAACCAGAGGAAGGGGAGGAAGAAAAAAAAACCAAACCAAAACUCCAAAGCCAGGUGGCCGCUUGCUGCGAACACUUUUAUUUAUUAAUAAACACACCGCACUCCAAACAUUUGGCCGCUUGACAGAAUCCUCAAAAGCCUUGGAAAGGGAUCAAAGUUGUGCUGCUGUGCCUGCCACAGCUCGGGGAAUAACGGUGCCUUUAAGGACAGCGGUGGAAAACUCCCUCCCGUGCCAGCAGGACGUGGGAUUGUCCCCUGAGGGUGGCGUUGGGGACACUUCGGUGCUGCUGUCUGAGGUGCUGAAGCUGCAGAUCCCCCACCACGGCCUGGAGGAGCUGCAAAAGCAGCUGGAAAACCAAACUGGUGGUCACUGGUGCUGUGUUUAAACUGGAGGUUGAAAUUCUCUUUGUGCCAACACAGAGCAGAAGCAUUUGAAUUUCGUGAUAAUUUUUGGGAGCUCUGGGGGCCACUUGGAAGCUUUUGGGGAUAAAAUGGAUCCACACCCAGGCUACAGAGCUCCCAAAAUGGGUUUUUUUUGGUGUUUUGUGCAAGUUUUCUCCCUCAAAUCCGUGCUGCUGCAGAGGGAAGGCGCCGUGACUCACUGGGCUCGACUGCUGGGCAGGCAAUGUGGGAUUUAAAAAGGCAAAACCUGGCACAAUUCCCUGAGAAUGGGGCUGAGCUCCCCCUUUCCCUGCAGCUCCGAGGCUGGAAUUCGAACAGGAAUUCGAACAGGAAUUCGAACAGGAAUUCGAACAGGAAUUCGAACAGGAAUUCGAACAGGAAUUCAAACAGGAAUUCCACAGGAAGAGCAGAAUCGGGCUAAAUCCACAUGGAAAAAAGAAUUCUGAGCGAGUUUUUCCAGUGCAGCUGGGCCAUUUCUCCUGAGUGACCACGAGAGGGACACAGAAGGAAAGCAAAGGAGCUGGGGAAGAAAGAAUCCAAGGAACAGCUCGAGCUGUUUUCUCCCCUAUUUAUGGAAUUUGGGCCACCAGCAGAGGAAGACAGGGAUUGGCACCUCGGGACCAGGGUGGUUCUUUCAACUUGGAGCAAAAAAACCCCAAAGGAAAUGACCUGAUUUGUCAAUAAAGUGGUUUUGGGCUGGGCCCGGUCUCCACAGGGACCUGGAGCAUGGGAGGUCUGAGGUAAAAACAGGGAAAAAUCCCAUUUUUCUGUAAAUAUCCCAAAUUCCUGCUGUUCCCACAUUUUAAAGACUGAGCUUCUGUUUCCUGGGGCUUUCCUGAGCCUCCCCGGGGGGGUUUGUGCUGAAUUUCCUGGCCAGACUCUGGGAAUGUUCCAGCAGGGAUUUGAACCUCCUCAAAACAAAAAAAAAUAAAAGAGAAAAAGAGAAAAAAAAGAGGAAAAAAAAGAGGAAAAAAAGAGAAAAAAAAGAGAAAAAAAGAGGAAAAAAGGAGAAAAAAGAUAUAAAAGAGGAAAAAAGUGGAAAAAGAGAAAAAAGGGAAAAAAGAGGAAAAAAGGGAAAAAAGAGGAAAAAAAAGAGAUAAAAGAGGAAAAAAGUGGAAAAAAAGAGAAAAAAUGGAAAAAAGAGGAAAAAAAGAGAAAAAAGAGGAAAAGAGAAAAGAGAAAAAAGAGAAAAAAG
Long non-coding RNA from Prinia subflava (tawny-flanked prinia), 1959 nucleotides. RefSeq lists it as uncharacterized. The transcript is spliced from 6 exons. The record is from RefSeq and is a predicted model, not a curated record. NCBI's taxonomy places the organism in Eukaryota, Metazoa, Chordata, Aves, Passeriformes, Cisticolidae.